Non-coding RNA from Xiphophorus maculatus (southern platyfish), 222 nucleotides. The record is from Rfam. NCBI's taxonomy places the organism in Eukaryota, Metazoa, Chordata, Actinopteri, Cyprinodontiformes, Poeciliidae.
AAGGCUUCUCGGCCUUUUGGCUAAGAUCAGUGUGUAGUUUCUGUUCUUAUCGCUUCUCGGCCUUUUGGCUAAGACAGCGGUCCCCUCCUUUGGGUAGUGAUAGCGGUAGUCUUUGUGACUUGGCUGUUACCACUGAUUUAGAGGUUCAGUAAAUUUUGUCCCCGGUUGAGAUAUUGACCACUAAGUAGUGGAAAAUAUCUUUUACCUUUUAUUUGUAUUUAU